AGUGAACGCUGGCGGUAGGCCUAACACAUGCAAGUCGAACGGCAGCACAGUAAGAUCUUGCUCUUACGGGUGGCGAGUGGCGGACGGGUGAGGAAUACAUCGGAAUCUACUUUUUCGUGGGGGAUAACGUAGGGAAACUUACGCUAAUACCGCAUAUGACCUACGGGUGAAAGCAGGGGAUCUUCGCACCUUGCGCGAUUGAAUGAGCCGAUGCCGGAUUAGCUAGUUGGCGGGGUAAAGGCCCACCAAGGCGACGAUCCGUAGCUGAUCUGAGAGGAUGAUCAGCCACACUGGAACUGAGACACGGUCCAGACUCCUACGGGAGGCAGCAGUGGGGAAUAUUGGACAAUGGGCGCAAGCCUGACCCAGCCAUACCGCGUGGGUGAAGAAGGCCUUCGGGUUGUAAAGCCCUUUUGUUGGGAAAGAAAAGCAGCAGGUUAAUACGCCGCUGUUCUGACGGUACCCAAAGAAUAAGCACCGGCUAACUACGUG
RNAcentral lists this ribosomal RNA (492 nucleotides) under uncultured bacterium. Its description in RNAcentral is "partial 16S ribosomal RNA". It matches the Rfam family "Bacterial small subunit ribosomal RNA", at positions 29 to 507 of the family's 1533-position model. The record is from RNAcentral.